This 506-nucleotide ribosomal RNA is filed under the name uncultured bacterium. Its description in RNAcentral is "partial 16S ribosomal RNA". It matches the Rfam family "Bacterial small subunit ribosomal RNA", at positions 29 to 523 of the family's 1533-position model. The record is from RNAcentral.
AGUGAACGCUGGCGGUAGGCCUAACACAUGCAAGUCGAACGGAAGCACAGGAGAGCUUGCUCUCUGGGUGGCGAGUGGCGGACGGGUGAGGGAUACAUCGGAAUCUACUCUGUCGUGGGGGAUAACGUAGGGAAACUUACGCUAAUACCGCAUACGACCUACGUGUGAAAGCAGGGGACCUUCGGGCCUUGCGCGAUUGAAUGAGCCGAUGUCGGAUUAGCUAGUUGGCGGGGUAAAGGCCCACCAAGGCGACGAUCCGUAGCUGGUCUGAGAGGAUGAUCAGCCACACUGGAACUGAGACACGGUCCAGACUCCUACGGGAGGCAGCAGUGGGGAAUAUUGGACAAUGGGCGCAAGCCUGAUCCAGCCAUACCGCGUGGGUGAAGAAGGCCUUCGGGUUGUAAAGCCCUUUUGUUGGGAAAGAAAUCCAGCUGGCUAAUACCCGGUUGGGAUGACGGUACCCAAAGAAUAAGCACCGGCUAACUUCGUGCCAGCAGCCGCGGUAA